UACGUAGGUGACCAGCGUUGUCCGGAUUUACUGGGCGUAAAGAGCGCGCAGGCGGUCGUUCAAGUCGAGUGUGAAAGCCCCCGGCUCAACUGGGGAGGGUCACUCGAUACUGAUCGACUUGAAGGCAGGAGAGGGAAGCGGAAUUCCCGGUGUAGUGGUGAAAUGCGUAGAUAUUAGGAGGAAUACCGGUGGCGAAAGCGACUCUCUGGACGGCAACUGACGCUGAGGCACGAAAGCGUGGGGAGCAAACAGG
RNAcentral lists this ribosomal RNA (253 nucleotides) under uncultured bacterium. RNAcentral describes it as "partial 16S ribosomal RNA". It matches the Rfam family "Bacterial small subunit ribosomal RNA", at positions 524 to 776 of the family's 1533-position model. The record is from RNAcentral.